AUACGGAGGGUGCAAGCGUUACUCGGAAUCACUGGGCGUAAAGCGCGCGCAGGCGGGCUGAUAAGUUGGAUGGGAAAGCCUACGGCUCAACCGUAGAACUGCAUCCAAAACUGUCAGUCUAGAGUCUGGGAGGGGAAGAUGGAAUUAGUUGUGUAGGGGUAAAAUCCGUAGAGAUAACUAGGAAUACCAAAAGCGAAGGCGAUCUUCUGGAACAGUACUGACGCUGAGGCGCGAAAGCGUGGGGAGCAAACAGGAUUAGAAACCCUAGUAGUCC
RNAcentral lists this ribosomal RNA (274 nucleotides) under uncultured bacterium. RNAcentral describes it as "partial 16S ribosomal RNA". It matches the Rfam family "Bacterial small subunit ribosomal RNA", at positions 523 to 796 of the family's 1533-position model. The record is from RNAcentral.